UGUAGCGUGUGCAGCGUGUAGUGUGUAGCGUGCAGCGUGUAGUGUGUAGCGUGCAGCGUGUAGUGUGUAGCGUGCAGCCUGACACUUGAUGUAAGUGAAGUGAAUAUUUGCAUGUUUGAAUGUGUGCAGAGUUCAGCCUCCUGCUCUCUGUCUGCAGGUGGAACAUGAACAGGUGUAAGGAUCCUAAUGAACAGGUGUAAGGAUCCUAAUGAACAGGUGUAAGGAUCCUAAUGAACAGGUGUAAUGGUGAAUAAAGGCUGAAGUGAUUUGUCAGGUGUUAACAGUGAUGACUCACACCUGACAAUAUUCCAUGUUGUGCUGCAGGAUAAUUGCAGCGUGCGGCUGCAGCUCGAUGAAGCUCUGUCUGUAUUUCUGUCAUUAUUUGGCCCUGAAGAGCUGCUGCUUGUUGUUUCUCUCAUGUUGUAAUCACAGCUUGUAAAGUGCCUCAGCUUGAAGAAGUCAUUUCAUUUUUCUUUUUUUUUUCUGUUUGCAGCAAGAAAACGUUAAAGAGAAAAGCAGCGUGUUCACUUCACUUCACUUCACUUCACUUCACUUCACUUCACUUCACUUCACUUCACUUCAGUUCACUUCAGUGGCUUUCUGUUAGCAUCUUUAGCAUCUGUUAGCAUCUUUAGCAUCUGUUAGCAUCUUUAGAGAUGGUAAUAAAACAGAAAAACUGUGUCCUUCUGCUGUUUUCAGGUGUUUUCAGGUGUUUGCAGGUGUUUUUGGGUAUUUUCAGGUGUUUGCAGAGGUUUUAAGGUGUUUGCAGGUGUUUGCAGGUGUUUGCAGAGAUUUUCAGAUGUUUGCAGGUGUUUUCAGGUGUUUUCAGGUGUUUUUGGAUGUUUGCAGAGGUUUUAAGGUGUUUGCAGGUGUUUUCAGAUGUUUGCAGGUGUUUUCAGAUGUUUGCAGAUGUUUGCAGAGGUUUUAAGGUGUUUGCAGGUGUUUUCAGAUGUUUGCAGGUGUUUUCAGAUGUUUGCAGGUAUUUGCAGGUGUUUUGGAUGUUUGCAGGUGUUUGCAGAGGUUUUCAGAUGUUUGCAGGUGUUUUCAGAUGUUUGCAGAGGUUUUCAGAUGUUUGCAGGUGUUUUCAGAUGUUUGCAGAGGUUUUCAGAUGUUUGCAGGUGUUUGCAGAGGUUUUAAGGUGUUUGCAGGUGUUUGCAGAGGUUUUCAGAUGUUUGCAGGUGUUUUCAGAUGUUUGCAGAGGUUUUCAAAUGUUUGCAGGUGUUUUCAGAUGUUUGCAGAUAUUUUCAGGUGUUUUCAGAUGUUUGCAGAGGUUUUCAGAUGUUUGCAGGUGUUUGCAGGUGUUUUCAGGUGUUUUUGGAUGUUUGCAGAGGUUUUCAGAUGUUUGCAGGUGUUUGCAGAGGUUUUAAGGUGUUUGCAGGUGUUUUCAGAUGUUUGCAGAUAUUUUCAGGUGUUUUCGGGUGUUUGCAGGUGUUUUCGGGUCUUUUUAUGUGCUUGCAGGUGUUUCCAGGUGUUGUGGUGCUCCUGUUUCAGUAUCAAAUGUGACGCUGCUGUAAACCUGAAAUCUGUUUUAUUCUUUUGUUUUAUAUUUAAAUUCUUUUCUUUACUCUCUCUUAAAAUGUUCAUUGAAAUAAUAAAAAAACAAAGAUGA
Long non-coding RNA from Austrofundulus limnaeus, 1609 nucleotides. RefSeq lists it as uncharacterized. NCBI's taxonomy places the organism in Eukaryota, Metazoa, Chordata, Actinopteri, Cyprinodontiformes, Rivulidae. The record is from RefSeq and is a predicted model, not a curated record. The transcript is spliced from 2 exons.